RNAcentral lists this ribosomal RNA (253 nucleotides) under uncultured bacterium. Its description in RNAcentral is "partial 16S ribosomal RNA". It matches the Rfam family "Bacterial small subunit ribosomal RNA", at positions 524 to 777 of the family's 1533-position model. The record is from RNAcentral.
UACAGAGGGUGCAAGCGUUAAUCGGAAUUACUGGGCGUAAAGCGUGCGUAGACGGUAGCGUAAGUCGGGUGUGAAAGCCCCGGGCUCAACCUGGGAAUUGCAUUCGAGACUGCUCUGCUAGGGUGCGGAAGAGGGAAGCGGAAUUUCCGGUGUAGCGGUGAAAUGCGUAGAUAUCGGAAGGAACACCAGUGGCGAAAGCGGCUUCCUGGUCCAGCACCGACGUCAGGCACGAAAGCGUGGGGAGCAAACAGGG